RNAcentral lists this ribosomal RNA (424 nucleotides) under Verrucomicrobiota bacterium. Its description in RNAcentral is "Verrucomicrobia bacterium partial 16S ribosomal RNA". It matches the Rfam family "Bacterial small subunit ribosomal RNA", at positions 355 to 776 of the family's 1533-position model. Lineage: Bacteria; Pseudomonadati; Verrucomicrobiota. The record is from RNAcentral.
UGAGGAAUAUUGGUCAAUGGACGAGAGUCUGAACCAGCCAAGUAGCGUGCAGGAUGACGGCCCUAUGGGUUGUAAACUGCUUUUGUUUGGGAAUAAUCGACAUUACGUGUAAUGUUUUGCAUGUACCAUUCGAAUAAGGACCGGCUAAUUCCGUGCCAGCAGCCGCGGUAAUACGGAAGGUCCAGGCGUUAUCCGGGUUUAUUGGGUUUAAAGGGAGUGUAGGCGGUUGGUUAAGCGUGUUGUGAAAUGUAGAUGCUCAACAUCUGACUUGCAGCGCGAACUGGCUGCCUUGAGUACACACAACGUAGGCGGAAUUCAUGGUGUAGCGGUGAAAUGCUUAGAUAUCAUGAAGAACUCCGAUUGCGAAGGCAGCUUACGGGAGUGUUAAUGACGCUUAAGCUCGAAGGUGGGGGUAUCGAACAGG